This 69-nucleotide transfer RNA is filed under the name Gastrotheca pseustes (San Lucas marsupial frog). RNAcentral's name for it is "tRNA-His". It matches the Rfam family "tRNA". From Rfam's summary of the family: Transfer RNA (tRNA) molecules are approximately 80 nucleotides in length. Their secondary structure includes four short double-helical elements and three loops (D, anti-codon, and T loops). Further hydrogen bonds mediate the characteristic L-shaped molecular structure. tRNAs have two regions of fundamental functional importance: the anti-codon, which is responsible for specific mRNA codon recognition, and the 3' end, to which the tRNAs corresponding amino acid is attached (by aminoacyl-tRNA synthetases). tRNAs cope with the degeneracy of the genetic code in two manners: having more than one tRNA (with a specific anti-codon) for a particular amino acid; and 'wobble' base-pairing, i.e. permitting non-standard base-pairing at the 3rd anti-codon position. The record is from RNAcentral. Lineage: Eukaryota; Metazoa; Chordata; Amphibia; Anura; Hemiphractidae.
GUAGACAUAGUUUAAAAAAAAUUCUAGCUUGUGAUUCUAGAGACGGGGUUUAAUUAACCCCUGUUUACC